Homo sapiens (human) is the source of this 678-nucleotide long non-coding RNA. Ensembl annotates it as CSMD2 antisense RNA 1. Its record names the gene CSMD2-AS1. The record is from Ensembl. NCBI's taxonomy places the organism in Eukaryota, Metazoa, Chordata, Mammalia, Primates, Hominidae.
AUCAUGUGACCACUUGUCACACUUCCAUCAAACAGUACCUGCCCCUUAGGUGUGCUAGGGAAUAAAUGAAAUGCCUGGGACAUCAUCGUUAAGUGGCAUCUGAUGCAUAAGCAGUGCCCUAGGAAUGGGGUUGCCUGCCUUGGUCUCUAAAGGAUGGGUUCAAAAGGCAAGAGCAGCACACAAGAAGAUAGCUUCAAGCAGGAGAUAAAGCUUGGCCCAGGGCCCAAAGGGGAUACGACCCUUCAGCAAACUGACAUGCUGAAAGCUGCCCUAUGGAGAGGCUCAUGUGGCAAGGAACAGAGGGUGGCUUCUGGCCAACACCCAGUGAGGAACUCAGGCCCUCAGUCAAACAGCCUGCAAGGAACUGAACCCUGCCAAUAACCCUUCAGUAGACGAUGAGGCCAGCACCACAUGGGCUAGAUGUACAUGAGAUGUGAGCAACCACACUUCCCCUCUGACGGGGACAGACAGCAUCACAGGCUGAGCUCUGAAACUUCUCCUGGCAGUUCAAGAGAGCGAUGGAGGGAAUGCUGGGGCACAUCUAAAUAAAGCCUCCAAGUGGGAGUUCCUGCUCAGCUAUGCAUGAGCUCUUUGUGACUUCAUCUCCCAGCCUACAACUUGUGAAAUAAGCACGACUUCACUCAGAGCACAGCCAGAAACAUACAAACUUUCCAAAAA